Eubalaena glacialis (North Atlantic right whale) is the source of this 396-nucleotide long non-coding RNA. RefSeq lists it as uncharacterized. NCBI's taxonomy places the organism in Eukaryota, Metazoa, Chordata, Mammalia, Artiodactyla, Balaenidae. The transcript has 3 exons. The record is from RefSeq and is a predicted model, not a curated record.
UCGCCCAGAACGGAGCCCGCGUUUCCGCAGAGCUGGAACUCCUGCCUCGGGGUCUCUUCCCUCCGCCGUCACGGAACUGCCCCGGAGCCCGAGGGGAGGGAGGCCUCACUGAGGCUGCCGGCUCCGGAGGGGGCCCGGCAGCCGAAGCCGCAACAGUCGUGGGGACGGCGGGCCGGAUGAAUGCACAAAGAAGAAGUGGUCCAUGUACAGAAUGGAAUAUUCGCCAUGGAAAAGGAUGAAACACUGCUCUUUGCAGCACCAUAGAUGAGCCUAGAGAUAAUCACAGAACAUGAGAUGAAUGCACAAAGAAGAAGUGGUCCAUGUACAGAAUGGAAUAUUCACCAUGGAAAAGGAUGAAACACUGCUCUUUGCAGCACCAUAGAUGAGCCUAGAGAU